UUCUUUGAUGCCUGGCCAAGAAUUCAGUUCUCUGUCAACAAAUGGAGGUAAUAUCUCAUUGGACUACUUUGGUUCUAAUGCCAUUCCUUCUUAGAUAACCAAGGGCACCAGUGGUGUUUUGGGGGGAAGUCAUUGAGAAGAUGUGACCACUGGUUGACCUUCACACUGGACCCAGGCAAUUGUGCAUGCUACAUGAAGUUAUAUGUAAGUGGGACCAAAAUGUAAAUGCAUUAUUAAAUGUGGGAACGUCAAGCUUCAAUUUACCGAGAAUUCAAAAGAUAACCAUCAUCAUCAUCAUCAUCAAUAAUAUUGAACUUUUUCAAUAAGAUGAUAAGGAAUUUUCUGAUUUCCUGCAUGGGGAAUGAAAAGCUGUAGCAUCAGGCACUCCUCAGCAUGCUUUGAGAGAAAAAAAUGGAAUUUUGGAAACAGUAAUGCAGGAAGCAUCGGAUAUAAUGGGAAAGUUUUUCUUUUGAGUAAUUGCCAACUCCGAGACUUAGGACACAAUGGACAUACUGAUAAGAUCAAAAGUAGAACCUAUAAGAGGAUCUAAAAAAAUCUGGUAACUAGAAAUGGAUCUAUAUGUCUACAAAGGAAUGGGCUGAGACUCUUGAAACUUGUUUC
Molecule: long non-coding RNA, 621 nt
Organism: Herpailurus yagouaroundi (jaguarundi)
Lineage: Eukaryota; Metazoa; Chordata; Mammalia; Carnivora; Felidae
Exons: 3
Source: RefSeq, a predicted model, not a curated record